Molecule: ribosomal RNA, 319 nt
Filed under: uncultured microorganism
Description: bacterial SSU rRNA
Rfam family: Archaeal small subunit ribosomal RNA
Source: RNAcentral
GUGCACCAGGCGAGAAACCUUCGCAAUGCAGGAAACUGCGACGAGGGAACUCCAAGUGCCUACGCUCAGCGUAGGCUGUUCUCGAGCCUAGAAAGCUUGAGGAGUAAGGGCUGGGUAAGACGGGUGCCAUCUGUGGUAGCAGUCAAUAGAUUCGAUUUGUUACUGCAAGGCAUAAGCCGCCGCGGUAAUACCCGCAGCCCAAGUGGUGGCCGCUUUUAUGGGCCUAAAGCGUCCGUAGCGGCCCGGUAAAUGCCUGGGGUAAAUCGUGGAGCCCAACUUCACGAAUUCCGGGUAGACUGCCGAGCUCGGGACCGGAAGA